UACGAAGGGGGCUAGCGUUGUUCGGAAUUACUGGGCGUAAAGCGCACGUAGGCGGAUUCUUAAGUCUGGGGUGAAAGCCCGGAGCUCAACUCCGGAACUGCCUUGGAUACUGGGAGUCUCGAGGAUGGAAGAGGUCAGUGGAAUGCCGAGUGUAGAGGUGAAAUUCGUAGAUAUUCGGCGGAACACCAGGGCGAAGGCGACUGGCUGGUCCAUUUCUGACGCUGAGGUGCGAAAGUGUGGGGAGCAAACAGG
Molecule: ribosomal RNA, 252 nt
Filed under: uncultured bacterium
Lineage: Bacteria
Description: partial 16S ribosomal RNA
Rfam family: Bacterial small subunit ribosomal RNA
Source: RNAcentral